UACGAAGGGGGCGAGCGUUGUUCGGAUUUACUGGGCGUAAAGGGCGCGCAGGCGGCUCAUUUUGUCAGGCGUGAAAGCCCCGGGCUUAACCUGGGAACUGCGUUUGAUACGGAUGGGCUAGAGUUCGGGAGAGGAGAGUGGAAUUCCCAGUGUAGAGGUGAAAUUCGUAGAUAUUAGGAAGGACCCCGGUGGCGAAGGCGGCCCACUGGUCCGGUACUGGCGCUGAGGUGCGAAAGCGGGGGGAGCAAACAGG
RNAcentral lists this ribosomal RNA (253 nucleotides) under uncultured bacterium. Its description in RNAcentral is "partial 16S ribosomal RNA". It matches the Rfam family "Bacterial small subunit ribosomal RNA", at positions 524 to 776 of the family's 1533-position model. The record is from RNAcentral.